This 185-nucleotide transfer-messenger RNA is filed under the name Oscillospiraceae bacterium. RNAcentral describes it as "partial transfer-messenger RNA". It matches the Rfam family "transfer-messenger RNA", at positions 181 to 374 of the family's 374-position model. Rfam says of the family: Bacterial tmRNA, also known as 10Sa RNA or SsrA, is named for its dual tRNA and mRNA-like properties. Its role is to liberate the mRNA from a stalled ribosome. To accomplish this part of the tmRNA is used as a reading frame that ends in a translation stop signal. The record is from RNAcentral. Lineage: Bacteria; Bacillati; Bacillota; Clostridia; Eubacteriales; Oscillospiraceae.
GGGCGUCAUCUCAGUGGUGAACAUGAGUACGGAAAGAGUUGACCGUGCCAUGGAUCAUGACUCUACCAAACUCAGCAGUUUGACGGCCUGCGGCUGAGCAAGGGAAUGUAACCGACCGUCUGCGCUCGGAGAGGUUCCUGUGGACGUGCUUUCGGACAGGGGUUCGACUCCCCUCGCCUCCACCA